RNAcentral lists this ribosomal RNA (253 nucleotides) under uncultured bacterium. RNAcentral describes it as "partial 16S ribosomal RNA". It matches the Rfam family "Bacterial small subunit ribosomal RNA", at positions 526 to 779 of the family's 1533-position model. The record is from RNAcentral.
CGGAGGAUCCAAGCGUUAUCCGGAUUUAUUGGGUUUAAAGGGUGCGUAGGCGGCGUGCUAAGUCAGGGGUGAAAGACGGUGGCUCAACCAUCGCAGUGCCUUUGAUACUGGUGCGCUUGAAUAUACAUGAGGUAGGCGGAAUGAGACAAGUAGCGGUGAAAUGCAUAGAUAUGUCUCAGAACACCGAUUGCGAAGGCAGCUUACUAAGGUAUUAUUGACGCUGAUGCACGAAAGCGUGGGAUCAAACAGGAUU